UCAAACUUGGUCAUUUAGAGGAAGUAAAAGUCGUAACAAGGUUUCCGUAGGUGAACCUGCGGAAGGAUCAUUAUUGUUUAGGGGGCCUCAUUGCCCCUUUGCAACGAUGCAACCCUUUGUUCUUGCCGUAACGCUUGUUUCCCUUGGCGCCUCCAGGCGCCGGAUGGGACCUUGAACCCCUUGCAAUCGAGUACUUUCAGUCGCGGAAAUUAUCAAAACUUUCAACAAUGGAUCUCUUGGCUCUGGCAUCGAUGAAGAACGCAGC
Molecule: unclassified non-coding RNA, 265 nt
Filed under: uncultured fungus
Lineage: Eukaryota; Fungi
Description: partial contains small subunit ribosomal RNA, internal transcribed spacer 1, and 5.8S ribosomal RNA
Rfam family: Eukaryotic small subunit ribosomal RNA (bases 1-73)
Source: RNAcentral